RNAcentral lists this transfer RNA (74 nucleotides) under Brassica carinata (Ethiopian mustard). It matches the Rfam family "tRNA", at positions 1 to 60 of the family's 71-position model. From Rfam's summary of the family: Transfer RNA (tRNA) molecules are approximately 80 nucleotides in length. Their secondary structure includes four short double-helical elements and three loops (D, anti-codon, and T loops). Lineage: Eukaryota; Viridiplantae; Streptophyta; Magnoliopsida; Brassicales; Brassicaceae. RNAcentral also lists the same sequence under 1 other name. The record is from Rfam by way of RNAcentral.
GCGGGGAUAGCUCAGUUGGGAGAGCGUCAGACUGAAGAUCUCAAGGUCACGUGUUCGAUCAAUAUCUUUUUGCA